Carassius gibelio (silver crucian carp) is the source of this 1991-nucleotide long non-coding RNA. RefSeq lists it as uncharacterized. The record is from RefSeq and is a predicted model, not a curated record. The transcript has 3 exons. Lineage: Eukaryota; Metazoa; Chordata; Actinopteri; Cypriniformes; Cyprinidae.
AGACGAAGAAGACGAAGAAGAAGACGACAGUCGUCAGCCGUCAGCCAUCCCUGGUCAGCUUCUCCUCAAAGUUAAGAAAAUUUCUCAGGACACAACUUUGUACUGAAGAUUCAGUGCAGAAUUCAAUAAUCCUGUGGAUGGACCGCAGCGAGUCCUUUUGCAUUUGUUUCCAUCAAAAUGAUAUCCAGACAUAAUGGAGAUGACAUUUACAUUGUAGAGCUUGGACAAAGUUCACACAGGCUCUGCAUAGGAAUUCAUCAAGGACAUGACUGCUGGGAUUACGCUUGUGGAUGACCAAUCUGAGCACCAUCAGUCUGCAGUGAUGUGAUCCAGGUAAUAGAAGAAGAAGAAAUCUGGGUGAUCUGGGGUUGUAACACAUUGUGUACUGUGUUAGACGGUCUGGGACUGGGACUAACAGAAAUAAACUAAUUCAGGUUUAAAACAACUUGAGUGUUAUGUGGAGAACGAUGAAAAUACAGUUUGUAUGCGUUAUUUGAGCCCAGGGCUGUGUUAGAGAUCGUAAAAAAACAGAGCGCGAGAGCUCAGCGGAUCACUGCAUGGAUUCAGAAUGGCGGGAAUUAAAAAAAGGACCUGCUCUAAACCUGACAGCAUAAAGACAUCCGUCAGAAUAUACAUCGAUGAUGAAAUUAGGGAAAACAAGAUUACUACUCGAGCUGUGUCUUUUCUGCAUGUUAUAAUGGAAACAAAUGAGCAGCACAGAUGAGCACCUCCCUCAGAGUUCUUCUGGAGCGCGUAACUUAACGUUACAUUUGAUAUCGCUGACAUAAGCUUAGUUCUGAUGAUUUUUUUUACAGUCUACGGUUCAGAUGAAGUUCUGAAGGUAGCGUUACAAACUCUUCUUUCAGUUUUCUGAAGUAACGUUAGUCAUUCAAGUGCCUCAGCAGAACUCGUGCGUGAAUAUCUGUUUUAUACAGUCCAUGGUGAAUAUACGGUCAUAACUUCAUAAGUAAAUUGCAUAUGUUCAAAUCUAUAUAUUUUAGAAUAAAAGUAAUAAUAGCAUAUAUCUUGUAUAAAUAGCCAUACAAUAACGAUCGACACAAAUGGUUACAUUUCCUUUUAUUUUGUUAUAAUUCUGUGUCGUGUCAUUUAAAAGCAUCGUCUGGGUGAUAAAGUUGGGCUUUGGUAAUUUUAAAUUUACAUUUUAAAAUAUCUCAUUUAAAAUUUACUCAAAGUAAAAAUUACUUGGUCACAUUUUAACAGUGGGAGCGAGGCAAAAAUGGGACAGGCCAAGGGUGUCAAACUCAGUUCCUGGAGGGCCACAGUCCUGCACAUUUAAGAUAUAACCCUAAUUCAAUUCAAUUCAAGUUUAUUUGUAUAGCGCUUUUUACAAAACAAAUCGUUACAAAGCAACUUUACAGAAAAUUAUGUUUCUUCAAUAUUUAUUAGUAGCUAGUAGUUUGUGCACAUUUGACAGGAUUUUAGAAAAAAAAAAAUAAUAAUAAUACAAGACGUAGUCGGCUAGACGAUGAACUAUCAAUAUUAUUAAGUUAUUAUAUGAUUCAGUCACACAUUUAGCAAUAAUUGUUAGUUCUGUUUGUUGAUUAGGGGUUAGCAUCAUCUGAGGUCCUCUGAGGGUCAGCAUCAUCUCUUUUCAGGUGUUCUGGAUCCAGACUGGAGCUUGUGUAAAUCCUAGUUAACACGGGAUGUAAAUCCCGUGGCGAAACAUAGAAACAAAAUACAGACAUCAUUAGCAUAGCUGCUGAUCCAACAAAGUAAAAUUAGUUUAACCCAAGCUAAUGAAUAAAAAAGCACCUUUGAUCAGAUGCAACUACACUCACAAUUAAAAAAAAACAUUAUUCGAAUGCACUGUAAAACCGAACAGUGAAAUUAAUCAAAUUAAAUUAGUUAAUUGCACUCAAAUAAUAACGAAAGUUCAUUGGACUUAAUUUAAAUAAGUUCUGUUAACUCAAAAAUUUGUUGUAGUGAGGUGAACUUAAAAUGAUUGUGUUUUCUAGUCCCCAGCAUGCUUU